This 916-nucleotide ribosomal RNA is filed under the name uncultured bacterium. RNAcentral describes it as "bacterial SSU rRNA". It matches the Rfam family "Bacterial small subunit ribosomal RNA", at positions 8 to 913 of the family's 1533-position model. The record is from RNAcentral.
AGAGUUUGAUCAUGGCUCAGAGUGAUCGCUGGCGGCGUGCUUAACACAUGCAAGUCGAGCGAGAUUUGACAGCGUAUCGUCAGGUCUAGCGGCAGACGGGUGAGUAAUACUUGGGCAAUCUACCCUAUAGUGGGGGACAACCGGCCGAAAGGCUGGCUAAUACCCCAUAAGACCACGGAAGUGCAUACUUCAGAGGUCAAAGCUCCGCAAGGGGCGCUAAAGGAGGAGCCCGAGUCCUAUCAUGGUAGUUGGCGGGGUAAUGGCCCACCAAGCCGUUGACGGGUAGCCGGCCUGAAAGGGCAACCGGCCACACUGGCACUGAGACACGGGCCAGACUCCUACGGGAGGCAGCAGUGGGGAAUUUUGGACAAUGGGGGCAACCCUGAUCCAGCGACGCCGCGUGAAGGAUGAAGGUCUUCGGAUUGUAAACUUCUUUUGGAGGGGAUGAAUGCCUACGUGAAUAACGUAGGGUGACAGUACCCUUCGAAUAAGCCACGGCUAACUACGUGCCAGCAGCCGCGGUAAUACGUAGGUGGCAAGCGAUACUCGGAAUCACUAGGCGUAAAGCGCAGGUAGGCGGUUUGAUAAGUCUGUUGUGAAAGCUCCCGGCUUAACUGGGAGAGGCCAACGGAAACUGUCAGGCUAGAGUGUGGUAGAGGAAGAUGGAAUUCCCGGUGUAGCGGUGAAAUGCGUAGAUAUCGGGAGGAAUACCUACGGCGAAAGCAGUCUUCUGGACCAUCACUGACGCUGAUCUGCGAAAGCUAGGGGAGCAAACAGGGUUAGAUACCCUGGUAGUCCUAGCCCUAAACGAUGCUCAUUAGGUGUGGGAGGUAUCGACCCCUUCCGCGCCGUAGCUAACGCAUUAAAUGAGCCGCCUGGGGAGUACGGCCGCAAGGUUGAAACUCAAAGGAAUUGG